GACGGUGUGGCGCAAUGGCAGCGUACUUGGCUUCGAUGCCAAUGAAGUUCCACCAAGUGGUUGCAGGUUCGAGUCCUGUCACCGUCG
Non-coding RNA from Flagelloscypha sp. PMI_526, 87 nucleotides. The record is from the annotation of a GenBank genome assembly. NCBI's taxonomy places the organism in Eukaryota, Fungi, Basidiomycota, Agaricomycetes, Agaricales, Niaceae.